UGGAUGAACAUUAAGCUUACUUUGAGGU
This 28-nucleotide non-coding RNA is filed under the name Rattus norvegicus (Norway rat). Lineage: Eukaryota; Metazoa; Chordata; Mammalia; Rodentia; Muridae. The record is from RNAcentral.